Hordeum vulgare subsp. vulgare (domesticated barley) is the source of this 1699-nucleotide long non-coding RNA. RefSeq lists it as uncharacterized. The transcript has 3 exons. The record is from RefSeq and is a predicted model, not a curated record. NCBI's taxonomy places the organism in Eukaryota, Viridiplantae, Streptophyta, Magnoliopsida, Poales, Poaceae.
CUGAAGGGAAAGUCUGCCUAGAAGCCAAGAGUUGGCCGUGGCUCUGGAGCUGCUGUUGAUGAUGAUACAUCUGAAAUGAGCAUAUUGCAGGUACUGGUCUUAUAAGGCAGGCAACUGAGGAAAGAAUUUCGAACCGUUGGAAGAAACACUUGAGCCUGACCCAAUCUUCACAGCAACUGAAAAGAGAUAUUAUCCUUAUUCCUUUAGAAGAAGAAUUGGAUGAAGUUUGCCUGCAAAUAAAGCGAAGAAGGAACUCAUUCUAUUACAGAUGCCUUUCUUGGGACUGCACAAAAGCAAAGUAUGGAAUAAGUAUAUGGUUCCGUUUUGUCUCCUCUGGUAAGUUUUGUACUUGUUCAGCUAUCAUGAAAAAUUAAAGUCGAUAGGCGAAUCUGAUCGGAUGAGCAUGGGUGUGAAGCAGUCUUCUAAGUUUGAUUGCUAGUUCAUAAGGCGCAUAAAGUAAGCUUAAAAUUUACGAUUUAGUUUCUUGAUUUUUGUGAUGUAUGUUGCCUUUCCUUUACAUUCGUUCUUGUACAGCUGACUGUUUUCUUACAGUCUCACUUCCAUCAUUUGUCUUUUCCAUGCUUUGAUAGAAAAUGCAUCAAGUUCGGUUGUAGAUAGGUUCAACUGACACAACGUCAAAGUUAUGCAGAAUAUUUCUCUGUAAUUUGGGAACAAAGUUCUCGUUAAGGAGAAAGUAUUCGGCACAAUUCAAUAAUAAUAAUCUAGCUUCACUCUAAUUUGAUAGAUUUUACUAUAAUAUGUGGUGAUCUCAUCCUUUCAUUUGCUUUGCAAUCAAGUUGAUGUUCAGACUAUGCUGCAAGUCACAGGUGCAGGAUGCCCCCUCUUGUUUUUGGUGGAAAAGAUUGACGUGAAGUUGACAAAAAAAUUCAUAUAGCAAAUCAAGUAGAAUCAAUUGUAAUUUGAUACUGCACGACUGUGUGCAUAGGAAAAGUUUGACAAGCUUAUUCUUUGAAAGGUAACUAACACGAGUGCUCCAAGAUAACAUCCCAUGUUGUUCUUUAUAGUUUGCUAUUUGUAUAUUUUGGUUGCUGUUAUAUGGAUCAACCAAUCUUCUCCAAAGUUGCUUAGGGAAUCCAUGUGCUUACCAAUUAUAAGCGUUUUCUGUUCAUUUAUAUAUAUAUAUAUAUAUAUAGGGAAGCAAAGGAUACCCACGAUAUGGUAUAUUUACCUUGGCUCCGGUUCAACUGCGGCAUGCUGGUGCUUAUCUGUUUCUCCAAGUCGCUGCUAGAUUCGUCGAACAUCAGCUGGGCAAGGCAUGGUGAGCAAUGAUGGCUGGCCAUGAGGAGCAUAAACCAAAACUGCUGUGCACUUCAUGGAAUGAACACUUAGAGGCCAUAGCUUUAUCUUUUGCGCUGAAUCCGGUGAAAGGGCGUGAGGAGGAGAACUUUAUCUUUGCGCGGAUUACAUUCAGUUGUUGCUUGUUAAGUGCUUGGAAUCAUAUGCUUUCUCUUUUCUUUCUCCCGCUCCGAGCUCUUGACACCAUACCGGAGAAGGAAUAAGGGAAAGAGCUGGAGGAAUCGUGGCGCCUUUUGUUUUUGGUAAAGAAAAGAUGUGAAGGAAUAUAACACCUAUCUCCACCUCUUGUGUGUGGACUGUGGAGUGGUUCUUUUUGUUCUAUGGCGUCGCAGGCCUGGGCUGCAGGGCGAGGGCGAGACCAAGGGACCAACACCAUGCAACA